CCCUUAGAUGUUCUGGGCUGCACGCGCGCUACACUGAUGCGUUCAACGAGUUUUACCUGCUCCGGAAGGAAUGGGCAACCUUGUGAAAGCGCAUCGUGAUGGGGAUAGAUUAUUGCAAUUUUUAAUCUUCAACGAGGAAUUCCUAGUAAGCGCAAGUCAUCAACUUGCACUGAUUACGUCCCUGCCCUUUGUACACACCGCCCGUCGCUCCUACCGAUUGAAUGAUCCGGUGAAUACUUGGGACCGUGUCGCGAUCAGUUUCUGGUUGCGAUGUGGGAACUUGAGUGAACCUUAUCAUUUAGAGGAAGGAGAAGUCGUAACA
Molecule: ribosomal RNA, 322 nt
Filed under: uncultured eukaryote
Lineage: Eukaryota
Description: partial 18S ribosomal RNA
Rfam family: Eukaryotic small subunit ribosomal RNA
Source: RNAcentral